UGGGGAAUAUUGGACAAUGGGCGCAAGCCUGAUCCAGCCAUGCCGCGUGAGUGAUGAAGGCCUUAGGGUUGUAAAGCUCUUUCACCGGUGAAGAUAAUGACGGUAACCGGAGAAGAAGCCCCGGCUAACUUCGUGCCAGCAGCCGCGGUAAUACGAAGGGGGCUAGCGUUGUUCGGAUUUACUGGGCGUAAAGCGCACGUAGGCGGACUUUUAAGUCAGGGGUGAAAUCCCGGGGCUCAACCCCGGAACUGCCUUUGAUACUGGAAGUCUUGAGUAUGGUAGAGGUGAGUGGAAUUCCGAGGGGAGAGGUGAAAUUCGUAGAUAUUCGGAGGAACACCAGUGGCGAAGGCGGCUCACUGGACCAUUACUGACGCUGAGGUGCGAAAGCGUGGGGAGCAAACAGG
Molecule: ribosomal RNA, 404 nt
Filed under: Verrucomicrobiota bacterium
Lineage: Bacteria; Pseudomonadati; Verrucomicrobiota
Description: Verrucomicrobia bacterium partial 16S ribosomal RNA
Rfam family: Bacterial small subunit ribosomal RNA
Source: RNAcentral